UGUGUAUUGAGGGAAGGGGAGAUGUGUGCAACACCUUCCAGAAAAAUGGGGAGGUAGUUUAGAAAGUUUUUCUCUGUAACAGCACAGCUUCUGAGAAGGCAGAGAGAAGAAAGCAGACAGGAAACGAAUCCCUUCCUCCUCUCCCCUUUACCCCCUUCCUUCACUCCCUAGACCAAGCUGGUCACCCGGCUGGGAAUCAAGAUUGUGUGGCUGGGAAGACACCAGUCUCUGUGCUCGGGUUCAGCCCAGUCGGGCAAGAAAGUCUGGGCAGCUGGAGAAGGUCGUCACAGUCUCCCGUGGAAUCUUGUUGCCUGAGAGCCCCAUAACGGAAAGGGCUAAGACGACUCUUCCACACACAGGUCGCAGCCCCUGCCGCGGAGGAUCCCCAGGAAGAUGCUGGGGACGCUCUGAGCAUCGGCCUUUCUUUACCCCCGACUCCCUGGAGCUUGGUCUCGGGAUGCCAACUUGGGGCACGGAGGCGACGGGCUGCUCCGAAGCUGGAGGGUUUCUGCUUGGGUCAGAGGGAUCACGACCUCAGCAGAGCCAGGAGAGGUUGGGUGACACCCACUGCGUAUUGCACUUGACUCAAAACUGCCCUCGGCCUGCGGAAGAGGCGAGGGCAAGAAGCCUGGUGGCGGGUCAAACCUUCACCCUAUUAUUUUCUAUCAUUUUUUAUGCCCAUAUAUUUGUUAAAUGUAUGGCUGCUAUACACCAACAGCUUAUUCUACAAGAAGUGCCCCCGAGGAGGAUUGGGUUAAGCUUUGCAAAUUUGGCUUCCCAGGUAAUGCGCUUCAUUAUUCUGCUCCCGACUUACCCACCACACCAGUGGGUACCCGGAGCAGCACCCACUUGGCAGAACUGAUGACUGCUUGGGCCCAGCGGAGUGCGCAUUGCGCUAACACGCGCACGGGAAUUGCACCCUUGCCGGAGCCUCCGCACCGUGCGCCCUUCAAAGAGCUGGCGACCCCGCUCACGUGUAAGCAACCUCCCACUUUGAAACUAAUUCGCACCCGGGUCUUUCACCCCAAAGGACUUUGCUGCGGACGCUGCUCUGACCCAAGACGCGGGAGAGAAGUCCCAAAGGCUACAGCCAGGGGCUGGGGGACUCCUCUGCUCACCUUAGUCCUUGAUUUCGAAGGCCCCAAUUAACUAUCUGUUGUGUCAGAAUCGGCGAGUGCAAAGUAGCUGCGCCCCGCUGACGCGCUCUCUCCUGGGUCCGGGUAUCCCAGGGCAUCCGGAGCUGGGGAGGGUUGUGCGGACUACCCAAGGCACGCGCAGAUACCGGGCAGGGAAGAAGGGCUCCGUGUUCCAAGGAUGGUCGUUUACCUCUCCUGAGAUCAGCCCUAAUCCCUUGGUAACUUAAGCGCCUCUGAACUCGGGGAGCGCUUGGUGGGGCGCCUCCCUGCAUCCACCCCUACCCCUGGCUCCUUCCCAGGCCCAGCAUCUUUCCCACCAUUCUCACCCCCACCACCCCCACGGCCCCGCCCGUUUAGAGGCGUGCGGUGGGCACUUGGUUUACAGAACCGGCGUUUCAGAUGUUUAUUUGCAACUAAUUUCUUGUGCUGGAAAAUGCUUGUUACCCGGGCGGAGCGCUUCCGCUCUGCGCGGUCCGGCCCGGCGGGCGGUAGCUCGCUGAUCCCUCCGGCGAAGCCUCCAAGGAGCGGGCGGCUGGGAGAGGUUGUGCCACCCGGGACCAAGCCAUCGGCGCUGCUCCGGACUCCCGGUAGGGGGAGCCGCCGCGGGCGCCAGGCCGGAUUGUGUUCUGGCCUCGGGGCGGCCCUGCUGCCAGCGGCCGGGACUCUCAGCACAGAGCUCGGGAGGACUCCACCUGCUCUCCAGAUAAGGCGCCAUGAGCAGAGAAGGGAACAGACGGCCAAGCUCCCUCCUAAUUCCCCGUUGUUGCAGAGCAAAGAAGAUGGGGGAGAACUAAUUAUAUUCUCUAGGUCUAAAUAUUGUUGAAAAAUUUGUAGGUGAGAUCACCUCCUUUGCCCAUAUCCAUAUAUAAUAUAUCCAUUACAUGUGUUUGCCCAUAUAUAUACGUAUGCCAUAUGUAAAUAUGUACGAGUGUGUAUGUAUGUGUAUAGCAGUGGUUUAGAAUUAGUCUCAGUUCCACAAAUUUUGAGCCCUUUUAAUAUUUUAGGUGACCUAAUACCUUCUCACUGUAUUUUCCAAGUCACUUAUUUCCAAGAGUUUUAGGUGAUCCCAGCAUAGGAGCUGAGCAUAGGAGCUCAGAUGAGACUUGCCAGUUUUGCUGCAGUAAUGUCAGCAAAAGAGUCUCUCUCUUUCUGACUCUAUAGACUUAAGUAAGGGUUUACAGGCUUUCAUUUUAAGGUAUGACUGAUAUUUAGAGAACAAGACUAAACCAAGGUCAAGGGGAAAACAGUUAGACUGUGAACCUGCAGACCACUCCACUGCACCCAGUGUGGCCGUACACCUGUGCUGAACGGCCAGAGACUUCCUGGUCAAUACUCCCACAGAUAAAAGACUGCAGGAUCUGCUUAUACACAAAUCCAUCUUUCGCUGGGAACCCACAACUCAUAACAACUCUCCUAAUGCCAAGUCAUCAAGGCCUCUUGAAAGAGAAUCAUAAAAAACAAAGAAUUUCAAACUUGGAAGGAAACCUAAAGUUUACUGGUGAGGAGCUUGAACUGAGUAGAAGCAAAGAAUCAUACUCCAGAUGAGAAACGCCCCAUGCACUGAGCUGAGACUGGAACUCUCCUCUUCUUACUCUCAGUCCAACAACAUCACUCAAACAACCCUAUUACUUCAGUAGCAAUGAACUGUCUCUGGAUUUUAUUAAGCAUCUCACUAGUUCCUUUUCUUCAGCUGUAUGGCACCCUGUCUUCCUGUACACCAGAGGCUCCUCAGCUGGGUAAGGUGAGCCAACGUUACCAGGAGUAUAUGCUGAGAGGCCAUUUCAAAGUCUUUCAUAGAAGGCUGUGCUUGGGCAAGUAGAACUUUUCAUCAUACAGUCCCAGAGAUGUGAAGUUAUCAAGGUCAGAGAAGAGGAAAAGAGACUCAGAGAAACUGUGUUCUCUAGUCUUUCAUUCGGGAACAAAUGGUGUCGUACCAAAUGGCUGAAAAGAUCCCAGGCUUACUCUGAGAAACAUCUCUCUCUUCUGAAUUAAACUUGCACAGUGGCUAACAGUGUUUUGUUUGGUGUUGACAAAGUAAUAAAACGUUACCGUUUCUCUUUC
Molecule: long non-coding RNA, 3197 nt
Filed under: Homo sapiens (human)
Lineage: Eukaryota; Metazoa; Chordata; Mammalia; Primates; Hominidae
Description: non-protein coding SATB2-AS1:8
Source: RNAcentral